ACGCGAAGAACCUUACCUAGCCUUGACAUAUUUAAGAACACUUUAGAGAUAGAGUGGUGCCUUCGGGAGCUUUUAUACAGGUGCUGCACGGCUGUCGUCAGCUCGUGUCGUGAGAUGUUGGGUUAAGUCCCGCAACGAGCGCAACCCUCGUCACUAGUUACUAACGGUUCGGCCGAGGACUCUAGUGAGACUGCCUUCGCAAGGAGGAGGAAGGUGAGGACGACGUCAAGUCAUCAUGGCCCUUACGGCUAGGGCAACACACGUGCUACAAUGGCCAGGACAAUGAGAAGCGAUACCGCGAGGUGGAGCAAAUCUAUAAACCUGGUCUCAGUUCGGAUUGUAGUCUGCAACUUGACUACAUGAAGCUGGAAUCACUAGUAAUCGUAGAUCAGCUAUGCUACGGUGAAUACGUUCCCGGGUCUUGUACUCACCGCCCGUCACACCAUGGGAGUUGAUUUCACCCGAAGCGGGGAAGCUAAACUGGCUACCCUCCACGGUGGAAUCAGCGACUGGGGUGAAGUCGUAACAAGGUAACCUUAAUUAAAA
This 546-nucleotide ribosomal RNA is filed under the name uncultured bacterium. RNAcentral's name for it is "bacterial SSU rRNA". It matches the Rfam family "Bacterial small subunit ribosomal RNA", at positions 959 to 1511 of the family's 1533-position model. The record is from RNAcentral.